Molecule: ribosomal RNA, 788 nt
Filed under: Trechisibus sp. MSL2007-1
Lineage: Eukaryota; Metazoa; Arthropoda; Insecta; Coleoptera; Carabidae
Description: partial 16S ribosomal RNA
Rfam family: Bacterial large subunit ribosomal RNA (bases 1-574)
Source: RNAcentral
UUGAUUUAAAUAUAAAGUCUAACCUGCCCACUGAAAAAUUUUAAAUGGCUGCAGUAAUUUGACUGUACAAAGGUAGCAUAAUCAUUAGUUUUUUAAUUAAAAGCUUGUAUGAAAGGUUGGACGAGGUAAAAUCUGUCUCUUUUUAAUAUAAUUAGAAUUUAAUUUUUAAGUAAAAAAGCUUAAAUUUUUAUAAAAGACGAGAAGACCCUAUAGAGUUUAAUAAUUAAAAUAAGAUAAUUAAUUUAGAUUUAUUAAUUUUAUUUUAUUUAAAUUAUUUUAUUGGGGUAAUAAAAAGAUUUAGGAAAUUCUUUUUUUUAAAACCAUUAAUUUAUGAUUAUAUGAUCCAUUAAUAAUGAUUAUAAGAUUAAAUUACCUUAGGGAUAACAGCGUAAUUUUUUUAAAGAGUUCUUAUCGAUAAAAAAGUUUGCGACCUCGAUGUUGGAUUAAAGAUUAAUUUAGGUGUAGAAGUUUAAAUAUUUGGUCUGUUCGACCAUUGAAUCUUUACAUGAUCUGAGUUCAAACCGGUGUAAGCCAGGUUGGUUUCUAUCUUUAUUUUUUUUUUAUAUUUUAGUACGAAAGGACCAAAUAUAAAAUAUAUUAAUAUUUAAUUUUUGAAUAUUAUUAAUUUAAUUAUUUUGGCAGAUUAGUGUGAUGAAUUUAGAAUUCAUUUAUGUAAAUAUUUACAAAUAAUACUUGUUUAUAAAAGAUUUAAUUAUUUCUUUUAUUUUUAUAUUUUUAUUAAUUAUUUGUGUCUUAGUAGGGGUAGCUUUUUUAACUUUAUUAGAACG